Molecule: ribosomal RNA, 200 nt
Filed under: uncultured bacterium
Lineage: Bacteria
Description: partial 16S ribosomal RNA
Rfam family: Bacterial small subunit ribosomal RNA
Source: RNAcentral
ACGCUCGACACCUACGGGAGGCAGCAGUCGGGAAUAUUGCGCAAUGGAGGAAACUCUGACGCAGUGACGCCGCGUGCAGGAAGAAGGUUUUCGGAUUGUAAACUGCUUUAGACAGGGAAGAACAAAUGACAGUACCUGUAGAAUAAGCUCCGGCUAACUACGUGCCAGUAGCCGCGGUAAUCUGAGCGGGCUGGCAAGGC